GUCACAUUUUAACACUGGGGCCACCGUUGACCGACAAGAAGAGAGAUCAAACCAAGUGAAAGACUCCACCUCCCACCCUCUCUGGGUAGACUACUGGCAUGGAAUGGAACCCGGGAAGCAAUGCAGCCAAUGAGUUACAGCAUACACUGCCAUGCUGAAAAGAGGGAAAAGUCCCCUGGACUUCAAAGCAGAGACAGAGAAAAUCCUGUCACUCUUCUCUCCGGGGCGGCACUCCCACCCACACUUAGCCAUGUUCCCUGUUCCCUGGAGCUGGCUGAUAUGGCUGCUACCACUGUGGGAAUACAUUGGAGGAAGACCUGAGGUCAACAUUCAUACAAAUCAAAUAACAAUUAAAGGGGCAAUCUGAUUGAUGUAUCAAUCCCAGAUUUACCAUUUAAAUAUCAGGAAAAGACAAACACAAAGGGUUAAACUAGAGAGGCAGAGAGAUGCUGCUCUAUUGUCAAUGUCAACUCUGCUGAGGGCUACAACAAUGCCUCAAAAGAUUUCUCAUACACCUGCAAGGAGGAGUUAUUCUACACACUGGGUGAAGCAGUGCUUGGGAAUAUAGGGAGAAUAGGGUUAAGUAUCAGUGAAAAAGGGGGUGGAGACAGAGAACAGGCAGGGAGAGAGAAAGCAUUCACUACAUAACAAGUAAAGGAAAAAGGCAUUGACUGGCAGAUACUGAAGCACAUUCCCUUUACUGAAACCUGUCACGUCCCUCCUCUGCUCUUAGAAAAAAAUAUAGUCUAACCAUUUUAGGUGCCCGGUCUGGGCAUCGAAGAAAUACCUAACACUUUUCAUACACACACUCUCAGGUGUCCUUUGGAAUAGCAUGAGCGGGCAUGCCCCCGAUACACCUACACAACCUACCCACUCAGGUUAUUCAAUGCAAUCCAAUUCAACAUAACUUUAUAGUCAGUAAGUCACUUUUAGGUGUGUCGUUGUCAUCUACCAAGGCCCUCCCCACAAGCCCCCACCCAGGAGAAGACAGAUGUGUAAAUAUCUUUCUCUCUCCCUCAGCCACUUUCCAUUCAAAAUCCAAAGAAGUGAAAUCCCAUCAGAUAAACAUUUUCUCUUUCUGCACCAGCGAUCUGAACAAGCGACUGGCUGCUACAUUCUUAUCUUAUCGCCACAACAAUCUCUCUGGAGUCUCGUCAUGCCCAAACAGGGAGAGAGAGACUCAAUGAAAGUAGUGCAAUUUUGGCCCCCACUUAUGUAUGUACAUACCCACACACACUAUGACUCGCAUACACCCAUACACACACACACACACACACACACACACACACACACACUCACACACACACAUACAUACACCGUUGCACACUAAACUGCUCUCCCACAUAUACUUGCCACUACUGCUUCUGGCUGUGUAUCUGGCCAAAUAACAUUGGAAAGAAGCCCUCUCUCUUUUUCCCUCCCUCUCC
Coregonus clupeaformis (lake whitefish) is the source of this 1427-nucleotide long non-coding RNA. RefSeq lists it as uncharacterized. The record is from RefSeq and is a predicted model, not a curated record. The transcript has 3 exons. NCBI's taxonomy places the organism in Eukaryota, Metazoa, Chordata, Actinopteri, Salmoniformes, Salmonidae.